AUGGAGACGCGUCCAACUGCGCGAGGGAGGGGAAAAGGGGCGGGGCUUCGGCGCUGGCAGAGGGAUCCGGAGAGGAGGCGCUGCCUGUCACUCAAUGGGAAGGAUGGGCCGUUAAUCCAAAAUGGCGGGCGGUGGGCAGUUGGGGAAGGGGACAACGUCUUUGGGGGGCUUCCUGAGGCUCAACACCAGCCGCACAUGAAGGAACAGGAAGCCAGCAGAAAAUCUGAUUUUUCUGAGGGCGAGGAGCCCAAAAAUCAUAAGCCCCCAACAAACCCAGGCAAGAAGAAAACAAGGAAGAAGAAAGGGAAAAAGAAAGCCAGCCGGGAUCAUGGAAAGCAUCCCGGCGUGCCACAAGAUGAUGCCACGAAAGCCAUUCCAGGGCAAAGAACAGGAAACCCCCUCCUUGCCUCCACUUCGGCCUCUUCGGUUUUGACUCAAGGCGAUUCCGAAGCGACCAACGAAAGUCUCCGCUGGGAUGGGAUCCUGGAGGACCCUGUUGCUGAAGAGGAGAGGCUGUGGAAAUACAGGCUGAACAGGAGGAAGCGCUAUGGGGAAUACAUCCAGCAGAACCUACCGCCAGAGCCAUCCUUCGCCCUCAGGAAUUUGCCUCAGCUUUGUAAAGUUGCACAAAAGAGCCAGGAGCAUACCGUAUGCAAGAGCAAGUCCUCUACAAGUGCUUCCAACGGGCAGCAAAAGCCAAAUGAAACUGAGUUCUAG
Molecule: long non-coding RNA, 717 nt
Filed under: Anolis carolinensis (green anole)
Lineage: Eukaryota; Metazoa; Chordata; Lepidosauria; Squamata; Anolidae
Description: lncRNA (ENSACAG00000036185.1)
Source: RNAcentral